CCUACGGGAGGCAGCAGUGAGGAAUAUUGGUCAAUGGACGGAAGUCUGAACCAGCCAUGCCGCGUGCAGGAUGACGGCUCUAUGAGUUGUAAACUGCUUUUGUAUUAGGGUAAACACUCCUACGUGUAGGGGCUUGAAAGUAUAAUACGACUAAGGAUCGGCUAACUCCGUGCCAGCAGCCGCGGUAAUACGGAGGAUCCAAGCGUUAUCCGGAAUCAUUGGGCGUAAAGAGUUCGUAGGUGGCACGUUAAGUCUGGUGUUAAAGGCGGAAGCUCAACUUCCGUAGGGCACUGGAUACUGGCGAGCUUGAAUGCGGUAGAGGUAAAGGGAAUUCCUGGUGUAGCGGUGAAAUGCGUAGAUAUCAGGAGGAACAUCGGUGGCGUAAGCGCUUUACUGGGCCGUAAUUGACACUGAGGAACGAAAGCCGGGGUAGCAAAUGGGAUUAGAUACCCGAGUAGUC
This 460-nucleotide ribosomal RNA is filed under the name uncultured bacterium. RNAcentral describes it as "partial 16S ribosomal RNA". It matches the Rfam family "Bacterial small subunit ribosomal RNA", at positions 338 to 795 of the family's 1533-position model. The record is from RNAcentral.